This 413-nucleotide ribosomal RNA is filed under the name uncultured bacterium. RNAcentral describes it as "bacterial SSU rRNA". It matches the Rfam family "Bacterial small subunit ribosomal RNA", at positions 29 to 452 of the family's 1533-position model. The record is from RNAcentral.
AAUGAACGUUGGCGGCGUGGAUUAGGCAUGCAAGUCGAGCGAGUCCACCUUGUAGCAAUACUCGGUGAGUCGAGCGGCGUAAGGGGCAGUAAUACCUGGGAACGUACCCUGAGGUUGGGGAUAGCUGCUGGAAACGGCGAGUAAUACCCGAUGAUCUCGAGAGAGCAAAGGCUUGCCGCUUUCGGAGCGGCCCAGGAGAUAUUAGCUAGUUGGUGAGGUAAUAGCUUACCAAGGCAAAGAUGUAUAGCGGGUGUGAGAGCACGACCCGCGCCACUGGCACUGAGACACUGGCCAGACACUUACGGGUGGCUGCAGUCGAGAAUCUUCGGCAAUGAGCGCAAGCUUGACCGAGCGACGCCGCGUGCGGGAUGAAGGCGUUCGGGUUGUAAACCGCUUUGGUCCGAGAGAAAGGU